This 253-nucleotide ribosomal RNA is filed under the name uncultured bacterium. Its description in RNAcentral is "partial 16S ribosomal RNA". It matches the Rfam family "Bacterial small subunit ribosomal RNA", at positions 524 to 776 of the family's 1533-position model. The record is from RNAcentral.
UACGGAGGGUGCGAGCGUUGUCCGGAAUCAUUGGGCGUAAAGGGCGCGUGGGCGGCUUGGCAAGUCUGACGUGAAAGCCCGCGGCUCAACCGCGGAUUGUCGUUGGAAACUGCCUCGCUAGAGUCCGGAAGAGGAGAGCGGAAUUCCUGGUGUAGCGGUGGAAUGCGCAGAUAUCAGGAAGAACACCCGUGGCGAAGGCGGCUCUCUGGGACGGUACUGACGCUGAGACGCGAAAGCGUGGGGAGCGAACAGG